RNAcentral lists this signal recognition particle RNA (148 nucleotides) under Gorilla gorilla gorilla (western lowland gorilla). RNAcentral's name for it is "Metazoan signal recognition particle RNA". It matches the Rfam family "Metazoan signal recognition particle RNA". Rfam says of the family: The signal recognition particle (SRP) is a universally conserved ribonucleoprotein. Lineage: Eukaryota; Metazoa; Chordata; Mammalia; Primates; Hominidae. The record is from Rfam by way of RNAcentral.
GCCAGGUGUGGUGGUGCAUGCCUGUAGUCCCAGCUACUAAGGAGGCUGAGGCAGGAGGAUCGCCUGGGCCCAGGAGGUCUAGGGUGCAGUGAGCCAUGAUCACGCCACUGCACUCUGGCCUGGGUGACAGAGCAAGACCUUGUCUCAA